GAUGAACGCUGGCGGCGUGCCUAAUACAUGCAAGUCGAGCGAACAGACGAGGAGCUUGCUCCUCUGACGUUAGCGGCGGACGGGUGAGUAACACGUGGAUAACCUACCUAUAAGACUGGGAUAACUUCGGGAAACCGGAGCUAAUACCGGAUAACAUGUUGAACCGCAUGGUUCAACAGUGAAAGACGGUCUUGCUGUCACUUAUAGAUGGAUCCGCGCCGCAUUAGCUAGUUGGUAAGGUAACGGCUUACCAAGGCAACGAUGCGUAGACGACCUGAGAGGGUGAUCGGCCACACUGGAACUGGGACACGGUCCAGACGCCUACGGGAGGCCGCAGUCGGGAAUCUUCCGCAAUGGGCGAAAGCCUGACGGAGCAACGCCGCGUGAGUGAUGAAGGUCUUCGGAUCGUAAAACUCUGUUAUUAGGGAAGAACAAAUGUGUACGUAACUAUGCACGUCUUGACGGUACCUAAUCAGAAAGCCACGGCUAACUACGUG
Molecule: ribosomal RNA, 497 nt
Filed under: uncultured bacterium
Lineage: Bacteria
Description: partial 16S ribosomal RNA
Rfam family: Bacterial small subunit ribosomal RNA
Source: RNAcentral